CUCGAGCUAAUACCGUAUGAAUCGAGAGAUCAAAGAUUUAUCGCCUGAAGAUGAGCCCGCGUUGGAUUAGCUAGUUGGUAGGGUAAAGGCUUACCAAGGCGACGAUCCAUAGCUGGUCUGAGAGGAUGAUCAGCCACACUGGGACUGAGACACGGCCCAGACUCCUACGGGAGGCAGCAGUGGGGAAUAUUGGACAAUGGGGGAAACCCUGAUCCAGCAAUGCCGCGUGAGUGAAGAAGGCCUUAGGGUUGUAAAGCUCUUUUACCCGGGAUGAUAAUGACAGUACCGGGAGAAUAAGCUCCGGCUAACUCCGUGCCAGCAGCCGCGGUAAUACGGAGGGAGCUAGCGUUGUUCGGAAUUACUGGGCGUAAAGCGUACGUAGGCGGUUUAAUAAGUCAGGGGUGAAAGCCCAGAGCUCAACUCUGGAACUGCCUUUGAGACUGUUAGACUAGAACAUAGAAGAGGUAAGUGGAAUUCCGAGUGUAGAGGUGAAAUUCGUAGAUAUUCGGAAGAACACCAGUGGCGAAGGCGACUUACUGGUCUAUAGUUGACGCUGAGGUACGAAAGCGUGGGUAGCAAACAGGAUUAGAUACCCUGGUAGUCCACGCCGUAAACGAUGAUAACUAGCUGUCCGGGUACAUGGUAUCUGGGUGGCGGAGCUAACGCAUUAAGUUAUCCGCCUGGGGAGUACGGUCGCAAGAUUAAAACUCAAAGAAAUUGACGGGGGGCCUGCACAAGCGGUGGAGCAUGUGGUUUAAUUCGAAGCAACGCGCAGAACCUUACCAGCGUUUGACAUCCUGAUCGCGGAAAGUGGAGACACAUUCUUUCAGUUCGGCUGGAUCAGAGACAGGUGCUGCAUGGCUGUGUCAGCUCGUGUCGUGAGAUGUUGGGUUAAGUCCCGCAACGAGCGCAACCCUCACCUCUAGUUGCCAUCAUUAAGUUGGGCACUUUAGAGGAACUGCCGGUGAUAAGCCGGAGGAAGGUGGGGAUGACGUCAAGUCCUCAUGGCCCUUACGCGUGGGCUACACACGUGUACAAUGGCGGUGACAGAGGGCCGCAAGCCUGCAAAGUAGUAAUCUCAAAAAGCCGUUCAGUUCGGAUUGUUCUCUGCAACUCGAGAGCAUGAAGCGGAAUCGCUAGUAAUCGCGGAUCACAUGCCGCGUGAUACGUUCCCAGGCCUUGUACACACCGCCCGUCACACCAUGGGAGUUGGAUU
This 1216-nucleotide ribosomal RNA is filed under the name Zymomonas mobilis. RNAcentral's name for it is "bacterial SSU rRNA". It matches the Rfam family "Bacterial small subunit ribosomal RNA", at positions 157 to 1417 of the family's 1533-position model. Lineage: Bacteria; Pseudomonadati; Pseudomonadota; Alphaproteobacteria; Sphingomonadales; Zymomonadaceae. The record is from RNAcentral.